Molecule: ribosomal RNA, 378 nt
Filed under: uncultured bacterium
Lineage: Bacteria
Description: partial 16S ribosomal RNA
Rfam family: Bacterial small subunit ribosomal RNA
Source: RNAcentral
CCUACGGGAGGCUGCAGUGGGGGAUAUUGCACAAUGGGGGAAACCCUGAUGCAGCGACGCCGCGUGUGGGACGACGGUCCUCUGGAUUGUAAACUACUGUUCCCAGGGACGAAGAUGACGCUACCUGGGGAGGCCGCUCCGGCUAACUACGUGCCAGCAGCCGCGGUACUACGUAGGGAGCGAGCGUUGUCCGGAAUUACUGGGUGUAAAGGGAGCGUAGGCGGGGAUGCAAGUUGGGUGUAAAAGCCACAGGCUCAACUGGUAGUCGCACUCAAAACUGCAGCUCUUGAGUGAAGUAGAGGCAGGCGGAAUGCCUAGUGUAGCGGUGAAAUGCGUAGAUAUUAGGAGGAACACCAGUGGCGAAGGCGGCCUGCUGGG